UACGUAGGGGGCGAGCGUUGUCCGGAAUCAUUGGGCGUAAAGAGCGUGUAGGCGGCUCGGUAAGUCUGCUGUGAAAGUCCAGGGCUCAACCCUGGGAUGCCGGUGGAUACUGUCGAGCUCGAGUCCGGAAGAGGCGAGUGGAAUUCCUGGUGUAGCGGUGAAAUGCGCAGAUAUCAGGAGGAACACCGAUGGCGAAGGCAGCUCGCUGGGCCAUUCCUGACGCUGAGACGCGAAAGCUAGGGGAGCGAACAGG
This 253-nucleotide ribosomal RNA is filed under the name uncultured bacterium. Its description in RNAcentral is "partial 16S ribosomal RNA". It matches the Rfam family "Bacterial small subunit ribosomal RNA", at positions 524 to 776 of the family's 1533-position model. The record is from RNAcentral.